AAUAUUGGACAAUGGACGAAAGUCUGAUCCAGCCAUGCCGCGUGAAGGAUUAAGGUCCUCUGGAUUGUAAACUUCUUUUAUAUGGGACGAAAAAAGGGCAUUCUUGCUCACUUGACGGUACCAUAUGAAUAAGCACCGGCUAACUCCGUGCCAGCAGCCGCGGUAAUACGGAGGGUGCAAGCGUUAUCCGGAUUCACUGGGUUUAAAGGGUGCGUAGGCGGAUAGAUAAGUCAGUGGUGAAAGCCUGGAGCUUAACUCCAGAACUGCCAUUGAUACUAUUUAUCUUGAAUAUUGUGGAGGUUUGCGGAAUAUGUCAUGUAGCGGUGAAAUGCUUAGAUAUGACAUAGAACACCUAUUGCGAAGGCAGCAGGCUACACAUAUAUUGACGCUGAGGCACGAAAGCGUGGGGAUCAAACAGG
This 419-nucleotide ribosomal RNA is filed under the name uncultured bacterium. RNAcentral describes it as "partial 16S ribosomal RNA". It matches the Rfam family "Bacterial small subunit ribosomal RNA", at positions 360 to 776 of the family's 1533-position model. The record is from RNAcentral.